Molecule: non-coding RNA, 203 nt
Organism: Marmota flaviventris (yellow-bellied marmot)
Lineage: Eukaryota; Metazoa; Chordata; Mammalia; Rodentia; Sciuridae
Source: RefSeq, a predicted model, not a curated record
CCUGAGUGGACGCCUCGCGAUGCACGCGCGCGCCCUGCUCCCUAGCCCUCCCGCCCGCGGGGCCGGCCCUUCCCCAGCGUCGGUGAGCAGAAGGACCGUGGGGCCUGGAGCCGCGCUUGCUGAAGAGGGAUGUAGAAUACCGGAAAGAAAUAAGUUCUUGCACUUUAUGAAUCUAUUUUUAAAAUAAAAAAAAUUUAAAUAUC